GACGUAGGGCGCGAGCGUUGUCCGGAUUUAUUGGGCGUAAAGAGCUCGUAGGCGGCUUGUCGCGUCGUCCGUGAAAACCUGCGGCUCAACUGCAGGCUGGCGGUCGAUACGGGCAGGCUAGAGUGUGGUAGGGGAGAUCGGAAUUCCUGGUGUAGCGGUGAAAUGCGCAGAUAUCAGGAGGAACACCGAUGGCGAAGGCAGCUCGCUGGGACGGUACUGACGCUGAGGCGCGAAAGCGUGGGGAGCGAACAGG
RNAcentral lists this ribosomal RNA (253 nucleotides) under uncultured bacterium. RNAcentral's name for it is "partial 16S ribosomal RNA". It matches the Rfam family "Bacterial small subunit ribosomal RNA", at positions 524 to 776 of the family's 1533-position model. The record is from RNAcentral.